AGCAGCCGCGGUAAUUCCAGCUCCAAUAGCGUAUAUUAAAGUUGUUGCAGUUAAAAAGCUCGUAGUUGAAUUUCGGGAUCAAUUGAUUGGUCAUGCCUUGGUAUGUACGGGUCAUAUUGGUUCUCACCUUCUAAUGAACCAUAAUGUCAUUUAUUUGAUGUUAUGGGGAAUUAGGACUGUUACCUUGAAAAAAUUAGAGUGUUUAAAGCAGGCUUACGCUUGAAUACAUUAGCAUGGAAUAAUGAAAUAGGACAUCGUAUUCUAUUUUGUUGGUUUCUAGGAUCGAUGUAAUGAUUAAUAGGGAUAGUUGGGGGCAUUAGUAUUCAAUUGUCAGAGGUGAAAUUCUUGGAUUUAUUGAAGACUAACUACUGCGAAAGCAUUUGCCAAGGAUGUUUUCAUUAAUCAAGAACGAAAGUUAGGGGAUCGAAGACGAUCAGAUACCGUCGUAGUCUUAACCAUAAACUAUGCCGACUAGGGAUCGGAUGAUGUAAUUUUUAAAUGACUCAUUCGGCAACC
RNAcentral lists this ribosomal RNA (516 nucleotides) under uncultured Glomus. Its description in RNAcentral is "SSU rRNA". It matches the Rfam family "Eukaryotic small subunit ribosomal RNA", at positions 569 to 1088 of the family's 1831-position model. The record is from RNAcentral. Lineage: Eukaryota; Fungi; Glomeromycota; Glomeromycetes; Glomerales; Glomeraceae.